Juglans microcarpa x Juglans regia is the source of this 614-nucleotide long non-coding RNA. RefSeq lists it as uncharacterized. The record is from RefSeq and is a predicted model, not a curated record. NCBI's taxonomy places the organism in Eukaryota, Viridiplantae, Streptophyta, Magnoliopsida, Fagales, Juglandaceae. The transcript has 2 exons.
GACAAACCCAUUAAUGUUCUUCAAAUUUUACCUCAUUUUUCCAUGUGAUUCUAGGUUUGCACCGUACAUUUGUUUGGCUUCGGGAUUCUAGGGUUUAAUGUUCUUCAAAUCUGGGCGAAAUCUUACAUUGAAGAGGCCUUUAACAAGUAUAAUGAAGUGUGGCAGAAUUGGUGGAUCCUUUGAUGGAGGAAGUCAUCGAUUCAGAGGUACUUAUGAAAAUGUUUUCUUCCACUGUGCGGCAUCGAUUCGGACUGAUUGCCCAGACAUGAAAUCAGUGGGAGAACAAUUGUGGGCAAUAAAGACAGACUAUCUUAAGAGUGCAAGGAGAGUUCAUUGACUGCAAUUUGGGAGUUGUCAUUUGUAAAUCAAUUGAACAAAUCAAUUUGGGAGUUGCAGAUUUUUCUUUUAAACAAAUCUUACUUUUUUUGUUCUUUGCUUUAUUCUUAAUUCUUGAACGCAGAUGAAGAUGUUUAUUGUUUUUCAACUUCUCAUCUCAAAGCAAUGCCUCAUUAUGACAAGCAUCAAAAGGAAAUGCAAUUAGAACAUUUGCUUCUUGAACUUUGCUAUGUUGUCAAGUAGAAUUGAGAAUGUAUAAGAGUUUUGCUUCCCUUGAA